This 429-nucleotide ribosomal RNA is filed under the name uncultured bacterium. Its description in RNAcentral is "bacterial SSU rRNA". It matches the Rfam family "Bacterial small subunit ribosomal RNA", at positions 355 to 796 of the family's 1533-position model. The record is from RNAcentral.
UGGGGAAUAUUGCGCAAUGGGCGAAAGCCUGACGCAGCGACGCCGCGUGAGGGAUGACGGCCUUCGGGUUGUAAACCUCUUUCAGCAGGGACGAAGCGAAAGUGACGGUACCUGCAGAAGAAGCACCGGCCAACUACGUGCCAGCAGCCGCGGUAACACGUAGGGUGCAAGCGUUGUCCGGAAUUAUUGGGCGUAAAGAGCUCGUAGGCGGCCUGUCACGUCGACUGUGAAAACCCAGGGCUCAACCCUGGGCCUGCAGUCGAUACGGGCAGGCUUGAGUGUGGUAGGGGAGACUGGAAUACCUGGUGUAGCGGUGAAAUGCGCAGAUAUCAGGAGGAACACCGGUGGCGAAGGCGGGUCUCUGGGCCAUUACUGACGCUGAGGAGCGAAAGCGUGGGGAGCGAACAGGAUUAGAUACCCCCGUAGUCC